This 423-nucleotide ribosomal RNA is filed under the name uncultured bacterium. RNAcentral describes it as "bacterial SSU rRNA". It matches the Rfam family "Bacterial small subunit ribosomal RNA", at positions 207 to 622 of the family's 1533-position model. The record is from RNAcentral.
AAGACCUUGCGCUUUUGGAGCGGCCGAUGCCUGAUUAGCUUGUUGGUAAGGUAAAAGCUUACCAAGGCUUCGAUCAGUAGCUGGUCUGAGAGGACGACCAGCCACACUGGGACUGAGACACAGCCCAGACUCCUACGGGAGGCAGCAGUGGGGAAUUUUGGACAAUGGGGGCAACCCUGAUCCAGCCAUGCCGCGUGAGUGAAGAAGGCCUUCGGGUUGUAAAGCUCUUUCAGCCGGAACGAAACGGUUACGGUUAAUACCCAUGACUACUGACGGUACCGGAAGAAGAAGCACCGGCUAACUACGUGCCAGCAGCCGCGGUAAUACGUAGGGUGCGAGCGUUAAUCGGAAUUACUGGGCGUAAAGCGUGCGCAGGUGGUUUUGUAAGUCAGAUGUGAAAGCCCCGGGCUCAACCUGGGAACU